Long non-coding RNA from Solanum pennellii, 499 nucleotides. RefSeq lists it as uncharacterized. The transcript is spliced from 3 exons. The record is from RefSeq and is a predicted model, not a curated record. NCBI's taxonomy places the organism in Eukaryota, Viridiplantae, Streptophyta, Magnoliopsida, Solanales, Solanaceae.
UACCAUUUUUCUAUUCAAUUUUCUCUACAUAGAUAGAUAUAAAACCAAAUCUAGCAUAACUUGUUCUGUUUCCAUAUUCUGAUCUUGAGUAAUUUCUUUCAGAUUUCAGUCUGUUUUGCGGUAAUUGACAUUUUUGCAUGGUUCAACAUUCCAAAUUAUGAAUUUCUUGAUGUUAUGUAUCUUUAAAACAAGGGGAACUGGAUCUUGGAACGGAAGAAACAUAAGUUAUAUUUGAAUCUCCUUUGACAAAAGUCGAACAAGUGGCACUGCAUCAACAGUUGUUUCGACCUAGGUUGGCAUUACUGCAUGUUCAUUAAACAGUUACGUUGUCAACAAAUGUAACGACUCUGCAUACUCUACUCGCUAAGUUCUUUAAAUUAGGUAUCAUAAGUGUGAUUUUGUUACAUCUUGGCACUCAAGUCAAUGUAGAUUACUGCAUAAUGUUGUUAAGCACUAUAUCUAAUUGAAGAAAUAUAUUAAUAUCGUUGUUUUUUGGAAA